AACGAACGCUGGCGGCAGGCUUAACACAUGCAAGUCGAGCGGGCCCUUCGGUGUCAGCGGCAGACGGGUGAGUAACACGUGGGAACGUACCCUUUGGUUCGGAAUAACGCUGGGAAACUAGCGCUAAUACCGGAUACGCCCUUUUGGGGAAAGGCUUGCUGCCGAAGGAUCGGCCCGCGUCGGAUUAGCUAGUUGGUGGGGUAAUGGCCUACCAAGGCGACGAUCAGUAGCUGGUCUGAGAGGAUGAUCAGCCACACUGGGACUGAGACACGGCCCAGACUCCUACGGGAGGCAGCAGUGGGGAAUAUUGGACAAUGGGCGCAAGCCUGAUCCAGCCAUGCCGCGUGAGUGAUGAAGGCCUUAGGGUUGUAAAGCUCUUUUGUCCGGGACGAUAAUGACGGUACCGGAAGAAUAAGCCCCGGCUAACUUCGUG
This 433-nucleotide ribosomal RNA is filed under the name uncultured bacterium. RNAcentral describes it as "partial 16S ribosomal RNA". It matches the Rfam family "Bacterial small subunit ribosomal RNA", at positions 29 to 507 of the family's 1533-position model. The record is from RNAcentral.